CCUUUGACGUUAGCGGCGGACGGGUGAGUAACACGUGGGUAACCUACCUAUAAGACUGGGAUAACUUCGGGAAACCGGAGCUAAUACCGGAUAAUAUUUCGAACCGCAUGGUUCGAUAGUGAAAGGUGGUUUUGCUAUCACUUAUAGAUGGACCUGCGCCGUAUUAGCUAGUUGGUAAGGUAACGGCUUACCAAGGCGACGAUACGUAGCCGACCUGAGAGGGUGAUCGGCCACACUGGAACUGAGACACGUUCCAGACUCCUACGGGAGGCAGCAGGU
RNAcentral lists this ribosomal RNA (279 nucleotides) under uncultured Staphylococcus sp. RNAcentral's name for it is "partial 16S ribosomal RNA". It matches the Rfam family "Bacterial small subunit ribosomal RNA", at positions 83 to 354 of the family's 1533-position model. Lineage: Bacteria; Bacillati; Bacillota; Bacilli; Caryophanales; Staphylococcaceae. The record is from RNAcentral.